RNAcentral lists this ribosomal RNA (506 nucleotides) under uncultured bacterium. RNAcentral's name for it is "partial 16S ribosomal RNA". It matches the Rfam family "Bacterial small subunit ribosomal RNA", at positions 29 to 523 of the family's 1533-position model. The record is from RNAcentral.
AGUGAACGCUGGCGGUAGGCCUAACACAUGCAAGUCGAACGGCAGCACAGGAGAGCUUGCUCUCUGGGUGGCGAGUGGCGGACGGGUGAGGAAUACAUCGGAAUCUACUCUGUCGUGGGGGAUAACGUAGGGAAACUUACGCUAAUACCGCAUACGACCUACGGGUGAAAGCAGGGGACCUUCGGGCCUUGCGCGAUUGAAUGAGCCGAUGUCGGAUUAGCUAGUUGGCGGGGUAAAGGCCCACCAAGGCGACGAUCCGUAGCUGGUCUGAGAGGAUGAUCAGCCACACUGGAAAUGAGACACGGUCCAGACUCCUACGGGAGGCAGCAGUGGGGAAUAUUGGACAAUGGGCGCAAGCCUGAUCCAGCCAUACCGCGUGGGUGAAGAAGGCCUUCGGGUUGUAAGGCCCUUUUGUUGGGAAAGAAAUCCAGCUGGCUAAUACCCGGUUGGGAUGACGGUACCCAAAGAAUAAGCACCGGCUAACUUCGUGCCAGCCGCCGCGGUAA